This 414-nucleotide ribosomal RNA is filed under the name uncultured bacterium. RNAcentral's name for it is "bacterial SSU rRNA". It matches the Rfam family "Bacterial small subunit ribosomal RNA", at positions 506 to 920 of the family's 1533-position model. The record is from RNAcentral.
GGCCAGCAGCCGCGGUAAUACGUAGGCAGCAAGCGUUGUUCGGAGUUACUGGGCGUAAAGGGUGCGUAGGCGGUCCCUUAAGUUCGGUGUGAAAUCUCCCGGCUCAACUGGGAGGGUGCGCCGGAAACUGAGGGACUCGAGUGCGGGAGGGGAGAGCGGAAUUCCUGGUGUAGCGGUGAAAUGCGUAGAUAUCAGGAGGAACACCGGUGGUGCAGACGGCUCUCUGGACCGUAACUGACGCUGAGGCACGAAAGCGUGGGUAGCAAACAGGAUUAGAUACCCUGGUAGUCCACGCCCUAAACGAUGCAUGCUUGGUGCUGGUGAUUCAGUUCAUCGGUGCCGGAGCUAACGCGUUAAGCAUGCCGCCUGGGGAGUACAGUCGCAAGGCUGAAACUUAAAGGAAUUGGCGGGGGA